GGCUUAAUGAUAUUAAUUUUAGGUCUAUCUGCCCAAUGAUGACUUAUUUAAUGGCUGCAGUAUAAUUGACUGUACAAAGGUAGCAUAAUCAAUUGUUUUUUAAUUAAAAACUGGAAUGAAAGAAUUAAUGAGAUAUAUACUGUCUCAUAUAUAUUUAAUGAAAUUAAAUUUUUAGUAAAAAUGCUGAAAUUUAUUUAUGGGACGAUAAGACCCUAUAGAAUUUUAUAUUAAUAUUUAAAUUACUAUUUAUUUUAAAUAUUAAUAUUUGGUUGGGAGGAUUGGUAAAUUUAAUAAACUUUAUUUUAAAUUAAAACUUUAAUUUGAGAAUUAUUUAUGAUCUUGUAUUAUGAAUUAAAAGAAUAAAUUACCUUAGGGAUAACAGCGUAAUAUCUUUUUAAAGAUCGUAUUAAUAAAGAUGAUUGCGACCUCGAUGUUGAAUUAAGAUAAAUUUUAAACGGAGUAGUUUAAUAAUUAAGUCUGUUCGACUUUUAAAAUCUU
RNAcentral lists this ribosomal RNA (498 nucleotides) under Bombus haematurus. Its description in RNAcentral is "partial 16S ribosomal RNA". The stretch from base 375 to 498 matches the Rfam family "Bacterial large subunit ribosomal RNA", at positions 2473 to 2597 of the family's 2925-position model. The record is from RNAcentral. Lineage: Eukaryota; Metazoa; Arthropoda; Insecta; Hymenoptera; Apidae.